This 775-nucleotide ribosomal RNA is filed under the name uncultured Neocallimastigales. Its description in RNAcentral is "partial large subunit ribosomal RNA". It matches the Rfam family "Eukaryotic large subunit ribosomal RNA", at positions 24 to 649 of the family's 3401-position model. Lineage: Eukaryota; Fungi; Neocallimastigomycota; Neocallimastigomycetes; Neocallimastigales. The record is from RNAcentral.
UAUGUGAUCGUCUCUCGCAUAUCAAUAAGCGGAGGAAAAGAAACUAACAAGGAUUCCCCUAGUAACGGCGAGUGAAGCGGGAAGAGCUCAAAUUUGAAAUCUUAAAGGGUUUCCCUUUACGAAUUGUAGUCUAAAGAAGUGUUUUCUGUUGAGGUUUUGGUAAAAGUUCUUUGGAAUAGGACAUCAUAGAGGGUGAGAAUCCCGUAUUUGACCUUUACUUUCAACUUUGUGAUACACUUUCAAAGAGUCGGAUUGUUUGGGAAUGCAGUCCAAAAUGGGUGGUAAAUUUCAUCUAAAGCUAAAUAUUGGCGAAGAGACCGAUAGCGAACAAGUACCGUGAGGGAAAGAUGAAAAGAACUUUGAAAAGAGAGUUAAACAGUACGUGAAAUUGUCAAAAGGGAAGCGUUUGACACCAGUGUUGUUUUUCUGAAAAUCAAUUAAAGAACUGUUUAUGCUAAGUUGUUUAGACUUUAUCAGCUAACUGUUUAGUUUUGAGCUUUUCUUUAAUGCACUUUUCAGUUAACAAGUCAACAUCAAUUUCUUUUGCUGUAAAAAAGCUUGAGGAAGGUGGCUUGAGAUUCGUCUUAAGUGUUUAUAGCCUCUUGCCUAUGCAGUCGGAGAGAUUGAGGUCUGCAGCGUAGAUCCUUCGGGGCUAAAUGCAUUUGUGCUAAGUUAUAGCAUUUUAUAGACAACUUGUUGACUAUGAUUUGUCUUGUAGCUUACUCGCUUAUGUUAUUUUACCUACGCUUAGGAUGUUGAGUAGCGACAUACGCAC